ACCAUUAUACUAGGCCUUAGGCAGGAUCUUGCCAAUCCCAACAAAAAGAUUAAGGAAUUAGAGCGCCGCUAAGUUAUCUAGAUUAGACCUUGAGGCAAUGCAUCUUAGUUAUCUUUAAAUUCGGUUUAAGUUUGCUAUUAUCAUCAGUUUGCUAUUAUCAUCAGUUUAUUAUCAGUCUGCUACUAGUCUUUUGUAAUAAAUGCCUCAAGAUUAAUAAAGAGUAUUAUUAUUAUGUCUUGUGUGUCUCUACUUUAUUUUUGUGCAAGAAAGCAGAAAACAAGUAUGGGAGAGAUCCCUCGACAUGCCAAACACACUCCGACUACACCACUCCACGAUUCAGGUACACACUCUACACACUUUAUGUUACACAUAUAUAUAUUUUGGAUUAUGCAGAUUAUUGUUUCCGACAUGAUAAAAUUAAAAGGAUUAAAAUAUUUCUAAUCAUGAUUAAUCUCAAUCUGUGAUAUUUCCUGAAAACUUGCAAUUAUUAUAAAAUCAUUUUAAAACCCUGUGUUACUUAAGUCAAUAUGGAAUAUAUGAUGGUAGAGUAUGAGUUUCUUAUUCUUGAUAUCAUUGUUGCUUGGAGAAUUUACUUUAAAAUAUUCAAAAUUCUAGCUACCAUCCUCAGUGUUUUAUAUGCCUGAUAAAAACUGAAAAUAUUAAUUAUGAUUAUAAAGCUAUCUACUCUGUAUUGAGUUUGUUCAAAAUGAGUUAGACCCUUGUUGAGAGAUUUAUCAUGCUCCUAAGAUCAAGACAUUAUUUCAGAAAGAUUCACUCUUCCGAAGUAUUAUUGCAUUAGAGGCAUGGGCUAUGCAAAAAUAAAAAUAUUUUGAGGAAAUAAAAAGGAGCAAGUGCUCGACAACCUCGCAGAAAAAAUGGACAAGUGUCCGGCAGUAGAAUUAGGGAUACCUCGGUAUCCACUUAAAAAAAGAGAAAAGAGAAAAAAAUAGCCCAUGGUCCCUCUAAUAAGCAAUAUGCCAGCAAGAGUUGACAAAGAUUUUAAUUUCCAAAGACUUAGAUCUUAGAGUAUGACAUUCCCCUCCUCGGAUCCCGUUUUGAUCAGGCAAUAAAUGCAAAGUAAGUAUGCUUGAGAAUUUUUUUCAAAAAAAUAAUAAAACAACCUCAGUGAGAUAUAUAAAAGAUAAUGAGUGAUCUGAGAGAACCUAUGAGGAUAAAAAGGUAUGCUAACUUUCUUUCAAAAAUAUACAAAAACUCCAGGUGACAGGAUUGAGAAGAAAGGAUCUUUACUCUUAACCAUAUACUUCCCUGACUAUGGUACACAGUGAAUUUUUAACAACCUGCAAAUAUAUAAAGAAUGCUUUAAAAUAUUUUACCCCAGAUAUUGUUCUUAACCAUCCUUUUCUCGAGGACGAGUAAAAGCCUAAGUAUGGGGGUAUUUGUUGACGGUUCUUAAGUAUCAAUUUUAAUUAUCAAAUAAACAAGAGAAAGGACUAAUAUGCAACCAACACCUAGAAUUAGGGUUUGAUCUGACAGAAUUCCACGAGUUUUGUUGUUUAUCUGUUUCUGCAGGGGGUUAUCAAGAAAUAAGGAAGAAAGGCCCACAUGUCGGGAUUACAUAGAGAUAUCAACGCACCGCACGAUUUUAUACCAUCUAGAAGACUCCAGAAGCCACGGGAAGAAGACGGAGGCCGAAAGGGGCCAGGCCCAGGGCGCCCGCCCUGGUGACCUAGGCGCCUGCCCCCCUCUGGAUGACAAUCAGGACUCUCUUCGCUCGGGAUAUUCCACCGACCUAUU
Molecule: long non-coding RNA, 1755 nt
Filed under: Sorghum bicolor (sorghum)
Lineage: Eukaryota; Viridiplantae; Streptophyta; Magnoliopsida; Poales; Poaceae
Description: long non-coding RNA (SBIC_LNC017805)
Source: RNAcentral